CCAGACUCCUACGGGAGGCAGCAGUGAGGAAUAUUGGUCAAUGGGCGGGAGCCUGGACCAGCCAAGUCGCGUGAGGGAAGACGGUCCUAUGGAUUGUAAACCUCUUUAGGCGGGGAGCAAUGCCGGGCACGCGUGUCCGGAGGGAGAGUACCCGCAGAAUAAGCAUCGGCUAACUCCGUGCCAGCAGCCGCGGUAAUACGGAGGAUGCGAGCGUUAUCCGGAUUUAUUGGGUUUAAAGGGUGCGUAGGCGGAUUUUUAAGUCAGCGGUAAAAUGUCCGGGCUCAACCCGGGCCGGCCGUUGAAACCGGAGCGCUAGAAUUCCGAUGCCGUCGGAGGAAUGUGUGGUGUAGCGGUGAAAUGCAUAGAUAUCACACAGAACACCGAUUGCGAAGGCAUCUGACGAAUCGGAGAUUGACGCUGAUGCACGAAAGCGUGAGUAUCGAACAGGAUUAGAUACCCGGGUA
RNAcentral lists this ribosomal RNA (464 nucleotides) under uncultured bacterium. RNAcentral describes it as "bacterial SSU rRNA". It matches the Rfam family "Bacterial small subunit ribosomal RNA", at positions 331 to 792 of the family's 1533-position model. The record is from RNAcentral.